UACGGAGGGUGCAAACGUUGCUCGGAAUUAUUGGGCGUAAAGCGCACGUAGGCGGCCAAUUAAGUCGGGUGUGAAAGCCCAGGGCUCAACCCUGGAAGUGCACUCGAAACUGAUUGGCUUGAAUAUGGAAGAGGGUCGCGGAAUUCCCGGUGUAGAGGUGAAAUUCGUAGAUAUUGGGAAGAACACCGGUGGCGAAGGCGGCGACCUGGUCCUUGACUGACGCUGAGGCGCGAAAGCGUGGGGAGCAAACAGG
RNAcentral lists this ribosomal RNA (253 nucleotides) under uncultured bacterium. Its description in RNAcentral is "partial 16S ribosomal RNA". It matches the Rfam family "Bacterial small subunit ribosomal RNA", at positions 524 to 776 of the family's 1533-position model. The record is from RNAcentral.